CACGUAGGGCGCAAGCGUUGUCCGGAAUUAUUGGGCGUAAAGAGCUCGUAGGCGGUCUGUUGCGUCUGCUGUGAAAACUCGGGGCUUAACCCCGAGCCUGCAGUGGAUACGGGCAGACUAGAGGUAGGUAGGGGGAGAAUGGAAUUCCCGGUGUAGCGGUGAAAUGCGCAGAUAUCAGGAGGAACACCGGUGGCGAAGGCGGAUCUCUGGGCCAUUACUGACGCUGAGGAGCGAAAGCGUGGGGAGCGAACAGG
Molecule: ribosomal RNA, 254 nt
Filed under: uncultured bacterium
Lineage: Bacteria
Description: partial 16S ribosomal RNA
Rfam family: Bacterial small subunit ribosomal RNA
Source: RNAcentral